RNAcentral lists this ribosomal RNA (624 nucleotides) under uncultured archaeon. RNAcentral's name for it is "bacterial SSU rRNA". It matches the Rfam family "Archaeal small subunit ribosomal RNA", at positions 147 to 774 of the family's 1478-position model. The record is from RNAcentral.
UAAUACUCCAUAGAUUAUGGAAUCUGGAAUGAUCCAUAGUCAAAAGUUCCGGCGCUUAAGGAUCGGUCUGCGGCCUAUCAGGUCGUAGUGGGUGUAACGUACCUACUAGCCUAUGACGGGUAUGGGCCUUGAGAGAGGGAGCCCAGAGUUGGAUUCUGAGACACGAAUCCAGGCCCUACGGGGCGCAGCAGUCGCGAAAACUUCACAAUGGGGGCAACCCCGAUGAGGGAAUUCCUAGUGCUAGCACAUUUGUGUUAGCUUUUCUCUAGCGUAGAUAACUAGAGGAAUAAGGGCUGGGAAAGACGGGUGCCAGCCGCCGCGGUAAUACCUGCAGCCCAAGUGGUGGUCGAUUUUAUUGAGUCUAAAACGUUCGUAGCCGGUUCGAUAAAUCUUUGGGUAAAUCGGGGGGCUUAACCUUCCGUCUUCCGAGGAGACUGUCGAACUUGGGACCGGGAGAGGCUAGAGGUACUUCUGGGGUAGGGGUAAAAUCCUGUAAUCCUAGAAGGACCACCGGUGGCGAAGGCGUCUAGCUAGAACGGAUCCGACGGUGAGGGACGAAGCCCUGGGUCGCAAACGGGAUUAGAUACCCCGGUAGUCCAGGGUGUAACGCUGCAGACUUGGUGU